AGAAAGGCAAAAAUUCGGCUUUCACUACACAUUUCCAUUACAUAUCACAAUCCUCUAAAUCUCCAUUCUCACCUUCUUCUUCUUCUUCUUCUUCUUCUUCUUCUUCUCCUUCUUCUUCUUCUUCUCUGUUUUCUUCAAUUUCCCAUUCAUUUUCCCUGAGUUUCUCUUCAAUUUUCUCCCCAAGAUUCUUCUCAUUUCCCCAUAUCCUCUUCAGAAAUCCCCACUCUUUCUUCACUUUCCAUGUCUUUGAAGAGUAUAAUUCAGGAAAUGAGAUCCAGGUCCCGCCGCGUCGUUCAGGAUGGAUCCACGCCCGAAGUCGGCGACGCUUUGGCGCAGAGCUGUUGGGCUUACAUGCCUCAGGAGUUGUUGAGAGAGGUCUUGGUUAGAAUCGAGAGUUCUGAGAAUGCUUGGCCUCCGCGGAAGACCGUGGUGGCCUGCGCUGGAGUUUGCCGGAGUUGGAGACGGAUUACUAAGGAGAUUGUAAAAACUCCUGAGGUUUCUGCUAGAUUGACGUUUCCUAUUUCUGUUAAACAGCCUGGUCCAAGGGAUUUGCUUCUUCAUUGCUUCAUAAAACGGAAUCGAUCCGCACAAACUUAUUGCCUUUACCUUAGUUUGACUAGUGCACUUGCUGACGAUGGAAAGUUUCUUCUUGCUGCCCGUAAAUGUCGACGGGCCACCUGCACUGAUUAUAUAAUAUCUUUGCAUGCUGAUGACAUGUCCAAGGCAAGUGGCACCUUUGUUGGAAAAUUGAGAUCUAAUUUUUUAGGAACAAAGUUCACCAUCUUUGAUGGACAGCCACCUCAUGCAGGAGCCAAAAUUUCAAAGAGUCGUUCCUCUAGGCUCGUGGGCCUGAAACAAGUAUCACCUAAAGUUCCUGCCGGCAACUACCCUGUGGCUCACAUCUCAUAUGAAUUAAAUGUCUUGGGUUCAAGGGGUCCAAGGAGAAUGCAUUGUGUAAUGGAUGCUAUUCCUGCCUCUUCUAUCGAGCCAGGAGGGGUGGCUCCAAUACAGACUGAAUUCUCGCCGAGCCGUAUAGAUUUUCUUCCAUCAUUGCGAUUUUCCUGGUCAAAAUCGAAUCACACAGACAAUCAACCAUCGGGAUCUUCAACUAAUCAGAAAGAUGGAGUUCUAGUGCUUAGGAACAAGGCGCCUCGGUGGCACGAACAGCUCCAAUGUUGGUGUUUGAACUUCCAUGGGCGAGUGACAAUCGCUUCUGUGAAAAAUUUUCAAUUAGUAGCUUCACCUGAAAAUGGAGUUGCCGGACCUGAACAUGAGAAGAUAAUCCUUCAAUUUGGAAAAGUAGGAAAGGAUAUAUUUACUAUGGACUACAGAUAUCCAAUCUCAGCGUUUCAAGCUUUUGCCAUCUGUCUCAGUAGCUUUGACACAAAGAUCGCUUGUGAAUGACACAUCUCUGAUCAGGACCAUGUUAGAGCAAGCAGUGAAAUUUUCUCUCAACAACAAAAGCUAUGGAGUGAACAUAAAUGGGUUUAACAAUUAACGAUAUCAUGAAAGACCCUUGAAUUGAAUGGGAAGGAAGAAGUGGGGGCUUAAUUGGAAGCCAGGCUUUGAAUUUCACAGCUCAUAUCCCCAAUUUUUGUGACGAUGACCGAAUGCUGAGGAAUCUUCGAUGAUUGAAGCAAAUUUUAAGAAAUAAGAAGUUGAGUCUCAAUCCAUCAUCGACCUUCUUGCUUCUUCAUCCCGCAAUUUUGCAUCCAUUUCCUUGCUUGGAGGAUACUUGGGGAGGCUGGAAGGCUCACAAGCAUAUGGUUUGGUAGUGAAAAACUGCAGAAUAGAAGAAAGUUAACAAAAUGUCAAUAUACAAGAGAAGUAGAGCAAGAGCUAUGACAAAUAAAAGAGAUCUAGUAACAAGUGCUUUUCUUUCUCCAGGUCGAGGGAGGGGGACAGGAAUAUAUGUCGACGAAGAAUAACAGGGUAAAAAACUCUAUUCCGCAAUCACGAGGCGGAGAUCUAAUAGUGAAAACUAUUAGCCAUGGAGCAAGAUGCCAUCUCUCAAUCUACAGCAAGACCAAGCUUGCAUGGCCAAAAUAAUAGAGUUUCACAUAACUCUGUUUUAGUCCAAAGGUCUAUACCGCCAAUUGUUUUUUGGCCGGUUUAAACUUGGCUCAUAAUUUUUUUUUGUGGUUAAAUGAAAAAUUUGGUCCACAAACUUUCAUGUUUGUGUCUAAUAGGUCUCAGAACUUAAUCAAAUAUGCCUCUAACUUUUCGAUCUUA
Molecule: RNA transcript, 2232 nt
Organism: Cucumis melo (muskmelon)
Lineage: Eukaryota; Viridiplantae; Streptophyta; Magnoliopsida; Cucurbitales; Cucurbitaceae
Gene name: tubby-like F-box protein 3
Exons: 8
Source: RefSeq, a predicted model, not a curated record